RNAcentral lists this ribosomal RNA (484 nucleotides) under uncultured bacterium. Its description in RNAcentral is "partial 16S ribosomal RNA". It matches the Rfam family "Bacterial small subunit ribosomal RNA", at positions 29 to 507 of the family's 1533-position model. The record is from RNAcentral.
AUUGAACGCUGGCGGCAUGCUUUACACAUUCAAGUCGAACGGCAGCGCGGGCUUCGGCCUGGCGGCGAGUGGCGAACGGGUGAGUAAUACAUCGGAACGUGCCCAGUAGUGGGGGAUAGCUCGGCGAAAGCCGGAUUAAUACCGCAUACGACCUGAGGGUGAAAGCGGGGGAUCUUCGGACCUCGCGCUAUUGGAGCGGUCGAUGGCAGAUUAGCUAGUUGGUGGGGUAAAGGCCUACCAAGGCGACGAUCUGUAGCUGGUCUGAGAGGACGACCAGCCACACUGGGACUGAGACACGGCCCAGACUCCUACGGGAGGCAGCAGUGGGGAAUUUUGGACAAUGGGCGAAAGCCUGAUCCAGCAAUGCCGCGUGUGUGAUGAAGGCCUUCGGGUUGUAAAGCACCUUUGGCGGGAACGAAAAGGACUGUGCCAAUACCGCGGUUCGAUGACGGUACCCGCAGAAUAAGCACCGGCUAACUACGUG